UGGGGAAUUUUGGACAAUGGGGGAAACCCUGAUCCAGCCAUCCCGCGUGUGCGAUGAAGGCCUUCGGGUUGUAAAGCACUUUGGCAGGAAAGAAACGUCAUGGGUUAAUACCCCGUGAAACUGACGGUACCUGCAGAAUAAGCACCGGCCAACUACGUGCCAGCAGCCGCGGUAAUACGUAGGGUGCAAGCGUUAAUCGGAAUUACUGGGCGUAAAGCGUGCGCAGGCGGUUCGGAAAGAAAGAUGUGAAAUCCCAGAGCUCAACUUUGGAACUGCAUUUUUAACUACCGGGCUAGAGUGUGUCAGAGGGAGGUGGAAUUCCGCGUGUAGCAGUGAAAUGCGUAGAUAUGCGGAGGAACACCGAUGGCGAAGGCAGCCUCCUGGGAUAACACUGACGCUCAUGCACGAAAGCGUGGGGAGCAAACAGG
RNAcentral lists this ribosomal RNA (428 nucleotides) under Acidobacteriota bacterium. RNAcentral describes it as "Acidobacteria bacterium partial 16S ribosomal RNA". It matches the Rfam family "Bacterial small subunit ribosomal RNA", at positions 355 to 776 of the family's 1533-position model. Lineage: Bacteria; Pseudomonadati; Acidobacteriota. The record is from RNAcentral.